Molecule: ribosomal RNA, 641 nt
Filed under: Arthrobacter sp.
Lineage: Bacteria; Bacillati; Actinomycetota; Actinomycetes; Micrococcales; Micrococcaceae
Description: bacterial SSU rRNA
Rfam family: Bacterial small subunit ribosomal RNA
Source: RNAcentral
CAGUCGACGAUGAUGGGAGCUUGCUCCUGGAUUAGUGGCGAACGGGUGAGUAACACGUGAGUAACCUGCCCUUAACUCUGGGAUAAGCCUGGGAAACUGGGUCUAAUACCGGAUAUGACUCCUCAUCGCAUGGUGGGGGGUGGAAAGCUUUAUUGUGGUUUUGGAUGGACUCGCGGCCUAUCAGCUUGUUGGUGAGGUAAUGGCUUACCAAGGCGACAACGGGUAGCCGGCCUGAGAGGGUGACCGGCCACACUGGGACUGAAACACGGCCCAAACUCCUACGGGAGGCAGCAGUGGGGAAUAUUGCACAAUGGGCGAAAGCCUGAUGCAGCGACCCCGCGUGAGGGAUGACGGCCUUCGGGUUGUAAACCUCUUUCAGUAGGGAAGAAGCGAAAGUGACGGUACCUGCAAAAAAAGCGCCGGCUAACUACGUGCCAGCAGCCGCGGUAAUACGUAGGGCGCAAGCGUUAUCCGGAAUUAUUGGGCGUAAAGAGCUCGUAGGCGGUUUGUCGCGUCUGCCGUGAAAGUCCGGGGCUCAACUCCGGAUCUGCGGUGGGUACGGGCAGACUAGAGUGAUGUAGGGGAGACUGGAAUUCCUGGUGUAGCGGUGAAAUGCGCAAAUAUCAGGAGGAACACCGAUG